Long non-coding RNA from Capsicum annuum, 632 nucleotides. RefSeq lists it as uncharacterized. Lineage: Eukaryota; Viridiplantae; Streptophyta; Magnoliopsida; Solanales; Solanaceae. The transcript has 2 exons. The record is from RefSeq and is a predicted model, not a curated record.
UUAAAUAUCCAUGUACUUGGCCAAUGGCAUGAAGUAAUUUGCAGAAUUAUUAAUCAUGGAAUUUAAAACUUACCAAAGAAUUUUUUGUCCUGCUAUCCCUUUUUUUCACCAUAAUAAUCCCUUUUUCUCAAUGCUUCAUUCUCCCAAACUAUCUCCAUUUCCUCGUGCAUUUCCACCGGUUUUGCACAAAGGGACUAGAGAGGAAGAGGUGACUAGAGUGUUGAUGGAUCAAUUUCGGUGGCAUGUCACUCAAAUGCUACUAAUGCAUGCCCUGUAUGCCCAUUGCAGUAUUAAUUGAAGAAGAUGAUGAGGAACAGAAUGAACAGUACUAUCCCCAAGUUAAUAAGUCUUCUCACCUUGAUCAUCAUCUAAUUCCAUCAAGUAAUAUUGAGGUCCCAUGGUAUCAUCAAUUCAUUGUAUUUAGUGAAAGAGUAAAAUGUAUCACACGUCCCUAUUCAAAAAAAGUUACUCCCGCUAGGAUUUAUUUUGCAUGAUCGUCUUUGUAUGAAUGAUACGUUUAAAAGUCGUGUUGGCUUCUGAUGUUAUAUUUGCUUCGUGUCAAUUUAAGUGUCUUAAUUUGACUAAGCAUGAAAUUUAAAAAUGAAGAAAACUAUCAAUUUUGUGAUCUCAAA